UACGUAGGGGGCGAGCGUUGUCCGAAGUUACUGGGCGUAAAGCGCGCGUAGGCGGGUUGGCAAGUCUGCUGUGAAAGCCCGGGGCUUAACUCCGGAGGGUCGGUGGAUACUGCCAGUCUUGAAGGUGCUAGGGAGAGAUGGAAUUACCGGUGUAGCGGUGAAAUGCGUAGAUAUCGGUAGGAACACCAGUGGCGAAGGCGGUCUCUUGGGGCAUUCUUGACGCUGAGGCGCGAAAGCUGGGGGAGCGAACGGG
RNAcentral lists this ribosomal RNA (253 nucleotides) under uncultured bacterium. RNAcentral's name for it is "partial 16S ribosomal RNA". It matches the Rfam family "Bacterial small subunit ribosomal RNA", at positions 524 to 776 of the family's 1533-position model. The record is from RNAcentral.